Camelus dromedarius (Arabian camel) is the source of this 390-nucleotide long non-coding RNA. RefSeq lists it as uncharacterized. The record is from RefSeq and is a predicted model, not a curated record. NCBI's taxonomy places the organism in Eukaryota, Metazoa, Chordata, Mammalia, Artiodactyla, Camelidae. The transcript is spliced from 3 exons.
CUCGCGAGGGGGAGAAGAUACUUACGCGGUGCGGAGAGCAGUGGGACCGAGCCUUUUUUUGCAGGCGGAGAGAGGAAAACCCGCGCGCGCACACACACGAUGGCAAACCUUUCCUACAGAAGCCGCCCAUCUGACCAACAAAACCACAGGACAAAAAGUUCUAUUCAAGGAGGGAACAAUAAGAAGGCAAAAAAGGUCAACAUUCCUAGGUGCCCCUGCAAACUGCUGUGUUCCCGGGACCACGACACCUUACCUGCUGACUCCUGCAUGCUCAUUGCAGUGUCUAAGGGAACAAGUGAGUAUCUGAAGGCACCUGGGCCAGGCUGAGAAGCCCAGCUAUCAGAAUCCACCCUCCUGAUUUGUCAACACAAUGACCCUUCAGACCAGGAG